UGCGCAGGCGGUUUUGUAAGACAGGUGUGAAAUCCCCGGGCUUAACCUGGGAACUGCGCUUGUGACUGCAAGACUCGAGUACGGCAGAGGGGGGUAGAAUUCCACGUGUAGCAGUGAAAUGCGUAGAGAUGUGGAGGAAUACCGAUGGCGAAGGCAGCCCCCUGGGUCGAUACUGACGCUCAUGCACGAAAGCGUGGGGAGCAAACAGGAUUAGAUACCCUGGUAGUCCACGCCCUAAACGAUGCCAACUAGGUGUUGGGGAAGGAGACUUCCUUAGUACCGUAGCUAACGCGUGAAGUUGGCCGCCUGGGGAGUACGGUCGCAAGAUUAAA
Molecule: ribosomal RNA, 332 nt
Filed under: uncultured Pseudomonadota bacterium
Lineage: Bacteria; Pseudomonadati; Pseudomonadota
Description: bacterial SSU rRNA
Rfam family: Bacterial small subunit ribosomal RNA
Source: RNAcentral